Molecule: ribosomal RNA, 252 nt
Filed under: uncultured bacterium
Lineage: Bacteria
Description: partial 16S ribosomal RNA
Rfam family: Bacterial small subunit ribosomal RNA
Source: RNAcentral
UACGUAGGUCCCGAGCGUUGUCCGGAUUUAUUGGGCGUAAAGCGAGCGCAGGUGGUUUAUUAAGUCUGGUGUAAAAGGCAGUGGCUCAACCAUUGUAUGCAUUGGAAACUGGUAGACUUGAGUGCAGGAGAGGAGAGUGGAAUUCCAUGUGUAGCGGUGAAAUGCGUAGAUAUAUGGAGGAACACCGGUGGCGAAAGCGGCUCUCUUGCCUGUAACUGACACUGAGGCUCGAAAGCGUGGGGAGCAAACAGG